AACGAACGCUGGCGGCAGGCUUAACACAUGCAAGUCGAACGGUUGUAGCAAUACAGCAGUGGCGCACGGGUGAGUAACGCGUGGAUAUCUGCCUUUUGGUUCGGAAUAACUCCGGGAAACUGGAGCUAAUACCGGAUGGUUCCUACGGGAUAAAGAUUUAUCGCCAAAAGAUGAGUCCGCGUACGAUUAGCUAGUUGGUGAGGUAAUGGCUCACCAAGGCGACGAUCGUUAGCUGGUCUGAGAGGACGAUCAGCCACACUGGGACUGAGACACGGCCCAGACUCCUACGGGAGGCAGCAGUGGGAAUAUUGGACAAUGGGGGCAACCCUGAUCCAGCCAUGCCGCGUGAGUGAUGAAGGCCUUGGGUUGUAAAGCUCUUUGGUCGGGGACGAUGAUGACGGUACCGCCAGAAUAAGCCCGGC
Molecule: ribosomal RNA, 422 nt
Filed under: uncultured bacterium
Lineage: Bacteria
Description: bacterial SSU rRNA
Rfam family: Bacterial small subunit ribosomal RNA
Source: RNAcentral